AUUAAUUUGGCAGAUUUAAGUGUAAUAAAUUUAGAAUUUAUUUAUGUUAUUUUAUUAACAAUUAAUA
RNAcentral lists this transfer RNA (67 nucleotides) under Phraortes sp. Iriomote Island. RNAcentral describes it as "tRNA-Leu". The record is from RNAcentral. Lineage: Eukaryota; Metazoa; Arthropoda; Insecta; Phasmatodea; Lonchodidae.